Molecule: ribosomal RNA, 647 nt
Filed under: Ampulloclitocybe avellaneialba
Lineage: Eukaryota; Fungi; Basidiomycota; Agaricomycetes; Agaricales; Hygrophoraceae
Description: eukaryotic LSU rRNA
Rfam family: Eukaryotic large subunit ribosomal RNA
Source: RNAcentral
UGACCUCAAAUCAGGUAGGACUACCCGCUGAACUUAAGCAUAUCAAUAAGCGGAGGAAAAGAAACUAACCAGGAUUCCCCUAGUAACUGCGAGUGAACCGGGAAAAGCUCAAAUUUGAAAUCUGGCAGUCCUUGUGGCUGUCCGAGUUGUAAUCUAGAGAAGCGUUAUCCGCGCUGGACCGUGUACAAGUCUUCUGGAACGAAGCAUCAUAGAGGGUGAGAAUCCCGUCUUUGACACGGACUGCCAGGGCUUUGUGAUGCGCUUUCGAUGAGUCGAGUUGUUUGGGAAUGCAGCUCUAAAUGGGUGGUAAAUUCCAUCUAAAGCUAAAUAUAGGCGAGAGACCGAUAGCGAACAAGUACCGUGAGGGAAAGAUGAAAAGAACUUUGGAAAGAGAGUUAAACAGUACGUGAAAUUGUUGAAAGGGAAACGCUUGAAGUCAGUCGCGUUGGCCAGGGAUCAACCUUGCAUUCAUUUGUGGGGUGCACUUCCUGGUUUGACGGGUCAGCAUCAAUUUUGACCGUUGGAUAAAGGUCAGGGGAAUGUGGCAUCUUCGGAUGUGUUAUAGACUCUGAUUGCAUACAACGGUUGGGAUUGAGGAACUCAGCACGCCGCAAGGCCGGGGAGCAAUCCCACGUACGUGCUUAGGA